GACUUGGCCGGCGGCGGCCUCCCGCCCGUUGCUCAAACGGUCCCGGCUCUCGUCACGUGGUCUGCUUCACUCUUCUCAGCAGGUCAAGAAAAAGCCUUUUUCCCCAGCCUAACUGGAAGACCUCCGGCUACAUGCUCACUGCAUCCUGUUUUGGAGCUGCAGAGAGACAUGACUGAAAAUGAAGACCAACCUGUCAGCACUGAGAGCAGUUAGCGUGAACACAGACACUCCGACAGAAGUUAGCUGGAUAAACGAGAGCAGCUUGCAUCCGGUUCUUCCGAACAGCCAGCUACGACUUGCCGAGAAUGCUGACAGAAUAGCAGAUAAAACACGCCAAACUGAACGCAUCCAAAAGAACAUCAGACGUAAAGAGACUGGGAGGGAGAGCAAGCUAAAUGAUUCCCUGAAGAGUGUUUGAUCAUUGUUCUCCACGAUAGCCUCAACUCAGCUGCCUGCCAUUUCUUCCAUUGCUUUGCUAAUUAGUGAGAGAAAUUAGAACUGUUUAAUAAAAUAGUGUUUAUUUUUGGCAAUGCAUUAA
Ornithorhynchus anatinus (platypus) is the source of this 538-nucleotide long non-coding RNA. RefSeq lists it as uncharacterized. The transcript has 5 exons. The record is from RefSeq and is a predicted model, not a curated record. NCBI's taxonomy places the organism in Eukaryota, Metazoa, Chordata, Mammalia, Monotremata, Ornithorhynchidae.